This 30-nucleotide non-coding RNA is filed under the name Mus musculus (house mouse). The record is from RNAcentral. Lineage: Eukaryota; Metazoa; Chordata; Mammalia; Rodentia; Muridae.
UAAACAAUGGAAAAGGCAGGGACCUGGAUC